CAACACAUUUCACCACCAACAUGUAUUCCCCACUACUCGGAAGAUCCAAAGCUCUUCAAUGCAUAAGAAAAAUGUUACAUGUAAUUAGGGUGACAAAGUAGGACGACGUUUGCAUUGAUGCUGUAAAAUAAUUGCAGAGGCAUUUUCCCGAAAAAAUCCAUAAAAUAAAUGCUUUUUAGGUACAUUACUGUUAAUUGAUUGGUGGAAUUUUUGCUUUCUUGUUUUUGUAUUGGGUCGCGUACAUGUAUGUCUAUCGUGUUAUGUGUCUCGUCACCGUGGGGUAGAGAAAAACGUAAUUUCGGUCUCUUUGUGUGUUGUGACAUGUGGAGAGAUUGACAAUAAAGCUGACUUUGACUUUGACUUUGAAUUGCAAUAUAAUUCAAGGUUGAUCUCGUUCAAAUUUAACCGUGUCCAAAUACAUCUCAAAAUAAUCCGUUUAGUACACAUUUGUAUGUGAAUGUCAAAUGAGAAAUUUAAAAUCAAUUCGGCACGCCCGAAAACUUUUUCUUUUUGCCAUCUUGGAGAUAAUUGAGAAUGAGAUGAGUGAAAAAAUAUACAAUCAAAAAUUGGCAAUUCGUACAUAGUUUAUUCACAAGCAAUUCAUGAAGCUUUUUUCCCCAAUUUUGAUAAAUACUUUUUUUAUUUGGUUACUCAGAUAUUCCCAAUUCAGAUGAUGCACAUUUUCUGGGAUACAUUGUACGGAGCAUUUGAAGUGAUAAUAUUUUUUACUUAAUUCAGAUGUGAUUCUAAUGUUAAUGUUAAUAGCUAUAGUUUACUUUAGGUUAUUUUAAUUCACUCUGUAUCUUCGCAGUUCACAAAACUAGUUUGGUUUUCUUUCAAGCACACGAUAUACUCUGCUAAUUUGUCACCAAGGCACUUUGAGCAUUAUGACUUCCUCUGAGAGGUAGCACUUCUCAGUACUGAGCACCAGGAAACCAAGCAAACAGUGGCAACAACAACAAUCAAAUACUGUAUUAUUAAUCAAGAAUAAAAAUGCCCUUUAAAGUGCAUUUCUUUUAUCAAGCGCAGUAGGCUCGAGUCUAUCAGUAUGCUGUCACACCCGUCCGUCCAUGUUGGACAGGCAACGUGUUGGGACAAGCUUAGAAUGCUUCCAAAUGGGACCAAAGUGCAGCAGGAAAGGCAAAGAAGGGGCGGGACACCUUUUCAAGUCAAGUCAAGUCAAGUUUAUUUGUAUAGCCCUAAAUCACAAGCAGUCUCAAAGGGCUUCACAUAGACAGAAAUUGACAAUUAUUCUCAAAGCAUCGCCUGAUCUUAAGCUCCCUUUUGUGCCCAAGCUCCCUUUUGUGCCCAAGAGCCACGUUUGACUUUGAAAACUGACACAUGGCUCAGGAAAUUUGUACUACUACAAAUGUAAAACUGAGAAAGGGCAUUUGUUUGCAAAAUCAUUUAUUUAAAUUUCUACAACUAUAAAAUGCACUGUGGCACUCAUUCACCGCAUAGCCUUAUUUGAAAAGCCGUUUUUCUUUUUUCUUUUUACACUCUGUGUCAGGGUUUUCCAAACUAUCUUGAUCUAUGAUUAUGUCGGAAUGUAUGUAACCAGUAAUAAAUAACCUAGCUUGUUCCAUCCUACACAAUGUCGUAAAACAUCCCCUGCUCUGCUAAUCUAGAGGUCAAGGGCUUUUUAACUUGUCUAUUCAGUCUACUAUCACCCCCACCCUUUUUCUCUUAAUAAAGAUGCUCUUGUGGGAAGCGAGAGUCAGACUUCAUUCGAGCAUCGCUGUAAACACAGCGACGAGUGAACUCUCCACCUGCAGGUGCCCAAAACGACUAACUUGUCUCCGUGUGGUUCUUGCAAAAUAAGUUAGAGUGAGCACCACUCUAACAUUUUGGUGCCGAAACCCGGGACCCUCAUACCCGCCAUCUGACUGACGGAGGAAGACGUGCUGCAUUGUCGACAAGCCAGCGUCCAUUAGGAGGACCUGGAAAAGAAAGUCCUGGGAAGAGAACUUCUUCGCUGGGCCAGCAUCUUAGGUCUGCCUUCGUCUGACAGAGGUGGUUGACGGGACCCGGAAAUGCAACGAACCAGGGGUCAAGUGACCUGGAGGGAAAGGUGAAAUGGUUGGACAACUAUCAGAAGGUCAAGCAACUGAGAGACGCACUGGUGUGGCUGCCUGUGUGGGAGUGGGCCAAGCGGGCCUUCAUUCCCGAGGAAGGGUGCACCUUCACGGUUCUUGACCAGCCCAUCUCUCUGGACCGACUCCGGCUCAGGAACAUCGAUCAGCUCAAUGCCUCAACAUCAGGGCUGCCUCAUUCUUUUAUAAUCACGCACCAGAACCGCUACCAGCAGUGUAUUGGUGCGUUUGUCCUUCAGGCUGUGUCCGAGUCUUCCAAGAGAGCAUGGCUAUCGAAGAUAGAGGAGGCCGUAUCGGCCCUGCUUAAGCUGGACUCUCGGCAGCCACGAGUAAAAAACGAUUCACUGUGGUUGGAAUCUUCUCAGAUCUGAAAUGUCCCGCUACACGAGAUGCCAUUGCACAUGCCCAGUUGUGCGCCGGCACUUCACUCUUCCGUGUCACCAAUGACUAUGAUUCCACUAGCAUGUCGUACGUACACAGUCAACUGCUGUAGUAGUCUACCAAUAAAACUUUG
Long non-coding RNA from Syngnathus typhle (broad-nosed pipefish), 2607 nucleotides. RefSeq lists it as uncharacterized. The transcript is spliced from 5 exons. The record is from RefSeq and is a predicted model, not a curated record. Lineage: Eukaryota; Metazoa; Chordata; Actinopteri; Syngnathiformes; Syngnathidae.